RNAcentral lists this transfer-messenger RNA (365 nucleotides) under Rhizobium sp. OAE497. It matches the Rfam family "Alphaproteobacteria transfer-messenger RNA". Rfam says of the family: Bacterial tmRNA, also known as 10Sa RNA or SsrA, is named for its dual tRNA and mRNA-like properties. Lineage: Bacteria; Pseudomonadati; Pseudomonadota; Alphaproteobacteria; Hyphomicrobiales; Rhizobiaceae. The record is from RNAcentral. RNAcentral also lists the same sequence under 2 other names.
CCUCUUCCCAUGCCGUCAGGAAAACACUAUAUCAGCCUUGCCGGUCUUCGGGCCGGCUAUGGCGAUAAAUGGGCGGUGUAAUAAGCCUAUUGGACCCGGGGGCGGUACCCGGCGCCUCCACCAAGAACAGCCGGAUGUACGGCUGCUGUUGAUGGGGGCGAAAUAGGAUCGACAAGGGUGUAAAGAUCGACUUUUCGCUCGGCAUGAUACCGCCGUUAUCGGGUCACAAGUGUAGUUGCAAACGACAACAACGCUAAGGAAUACGCUCUCGCUGCCUAAUGGCGGUGCGGGAAUUCCGCUCCAAGUCCUCUAGGUUAGCCCCUUGAGGCGGGGUCCGAAGGCACCUGGCAACAGAAGCCUUCACC